CCUACGGGAGGCAGCAGUGAGGAAUAUUGGUCAAUGGACGAAAGUCUGAACCAGCCACGCCGCGUGCAGGAAGACGGCUCUAUGAAUUGUAAACUGCUUUUGUACGAGGGUAAACGCAGAUACGCGUACCUGUCUGGAAGUAUCGUACGAAUAAGGAUCGGCUAACUCCGUGCCAGCAGCCGCGGUAAUACGGAGGAUUCAAGCGUUAUCCGGAUUUAUUGGGUUUAAAGGGUGCGUAGGCGGUCGGAUAAGUUAGAGGUGAAAUCCCGAGGCUCAACUUCGGAAUUGCCUCUGAUACUGUUCGGCUAGAGAGUAGUAGAGGUAGGCGGAAUGUAUGGUGUAGCGGUGAAAUGCUUAGAGAUCAUACAGAACACCGAUUGCGAAGGCAGCUUACCGGGCUACAACUGACGUUGAGGCACGAAAGCGUGGGGAGCGAACAGGAUUAGAUACCCCAGUAGUC
RNAcentral lists this ribosomal RNA (460 nucleotides) under uncultured bacterium. Its description in RNAcentral is "partial 16S ribosomal RNA". It matches the Rfam family "Bacterial small subunit ribosomal RNA", at positions 338 to 795 of the family's 1533-position model. The record is from RNAcentral.